This 219-nucleotide long non-coding RNA is filed under the name Lathyrus oleraceus (garden pea). RNAcentral's name for it is "Pisum sativum (pea) long non-coding RNA (PSAT_LNC018592)". Lineage: Eukaryota; Viridiplantae; Streptophyta; Magnoliopsida; Fabales; Fabaceae. The record is from RNAcentral.
CACAGUUGUAAACAUAUCAACUUAUGUAAGUGAUUAAUUCUUGUAUUAUUUUUCUAGAAUAUUUUUUUUAUAACGUUACUUAUUUUGUUGUUUAUUUUUUAUAAAGUAAUGUAUUUUUUUGUUUCUUUUUUAGGAUGUUUCUAGGUUUCGAACUCGUGUCCACGAAUUUGCACACAUGGACGCGAUGAUUCAACCUUAUAUUGAACUCGCCGGUUUUGG